RNAcentral lists this ribosomal RNA (1330 nucleotides) under Paradyschiria parvula. Its description in RNAcentral is "16S ribosomal RNA". The record is from RNAcentral. Lineage: Eukaryota; Metazoa; Arthropoda; Insecta; Diptera; Streblidae.
UUUAUAUUUAUUUAUUUAAAUAUUAAAUUAAAUUUUAAUUUUAUUAAAAAUAAUUAUAAAUUUUUAUUUUUAGUAUUUAAAAAGAAAAAAUAAUUUUAAUUAUAGAAAAUUAGUACUGUGAAGGAAAAUUGAAAUAAAUUGAAAAAUUUUAAUUUUAUAAGAAAAUUUAAAUUAUUGUAUCUUGUGUAUCAGAGUUUAUUAAAUAAAUUUUAUAAAUAAAUAAAUUUCUCGAUUUUAAAAGAGUUAAUAUAAAAUAAUAGUUAAUGUAAUAAAUUUAUUGUAAAUUUUAUAUUAGAAAUUAUAAGUUAUUCGUUUUUAAUGGUAUCUAGUUCUUAAGGAAAUAAAUUUAAUUUAGAAUUAAUAAAAUUAUUUAUUUUAUUUAAAAUUGAAUAAAUUAAUUAAUUUAAUAUAUUAUGGGAUUAGCUAUAAUAUAAAUUUGUUAAAAUUAAAUAUUUUAGUUUAUAAUAAAUAUAAGCUUAGAAAUAGUUAAUAUUAAUAAAAGUGUUAUAAUUUAUAUUAAUUAAAUAAGAUUUAGUAUUAAUUUAAGUUUUUAUUUAAGAAAUAUUUAUAAUUUAUUAAAAUAAGUAAUAAUGAUAAAAUUAGUAAAUUUUUAUAUUUAUUUAGUAAAUUAUAAUAAAAAUUUAAAAUAAAGAAUUCGGCAAAAUAAAAUAUUCGCCUGUUUAACAAAAACAUGUCUUUUUGAUAAUUUAUUUAAAGUCUAACCUGCCCACUGAAUAAUUUAAAGGCCGCAGUAUACUGACUGUGCAAAGGUAGCAUAAUCAAUAGUUUUUUAAUUGAAAGCUGGAAUGAAUGGUUGGACGAAAUAUAAUCUGUUUCAUUUUAAUUUUUUAAGUGAAUUUUAUUUUUUAGUGAAAAAGCUAAAAUUUAAUUAAUAGACGAGAAGACCCUAUAAAUCUUUAUAAUAUGUUUAAGAAUUUAUUUAUUUUUAUAAUUAUAAGUUUUUAAAUUAUUUAUUUUAUUGGGGUGAUAUUAAAAUUUGUUGAACUUUUAAUUUAAUUAUUUCAUAAAUAAAUGUUUUUUAUGAUCCAUUAUUAGUGAUUAAAAGAAUAAGUUACUUUAGGGAUAACAGCGUAAUAAUUUUGGAGAGUUCAUAUCUAUAAAAUUGAUUGCGACCUCGAUGUUGGAUUAAGAUAUAAGUUUAGGUGUAGAAGUUUAAAUUUUUAGUCUGUUCGACUAAUAAAAUCUUACAUGAUCUGAGUUCAAACCGGUGUAAGCCAGGUUGGUUUCUAUCUUUAAUAAGAUUAAAUAAUAUAGUACGAAAGGAUUUAUUAUUUUAUAAAUUAUAUAUUUAAAUUGAAUUAAAUUAAUA